CUGAUGUCACUCUAGCCCAGUACUGUGGAAAAUGAACAACUGUUCCCCACCUACUCCAUUCUCCUUCAGAGUCCUCCUGUUUAUGCUUGAGCAGCGCUUAAAUGUAUAAGCAGCAGCCAUUAAAGUAACGUUGAGGUUAUAACCCGAGGUGAAAUAAUGCGUAGGAAAAUGGUGAAGGAAUUGGAUUGCGUGCUAUUUUAAAAUUAUGUCUGUAAUUACGACUGAUCGAUCGAUUUUGAUGUCACUAACCACGCCCAACUCAAAAACCUGAUUGGGGUGAACAACCCGGAGGUGACGUAGAAAACGAGUCUCGAGUGUAAUGGCUACAGGUGCACCAUAACACUAGCAAGAUAAAUCCCAAAAUGGAGACGGGCGAAGCCGAAUACGCGACGAAUUACGGAUACAAUGACCACAGGCUUACCAUUUUGAUCGUGCUAGGAAUCCAAGGGCCUGGAACAAUAUCAGGAGGAGAAUUAAAGGUGAUCGGCAGGAGACUGAUGUCUGAGAAGGACUUGUGGAGAGUUGGACAGAUGUUUUGGGGUUAUAGAUCCUUCCUCCAACUGUCUCAUCAUGCCAUGCUAGACCAAUCAAACUGCAAAAAGCCAGGCACACGGAUGGACACUGGCCACGCGUCUGAUAGGUACGCCUGUAGUGGACCCAGGGCUUCAGAAAUGGUGGAGUAUCUGUAUAGAUGCAGUCGUGCCAUCUCUCCUUCUCUCCUCUCCCUUUUUUCCCUAUAAUUGCUGAGUGCAUUUUCCAGAAGCACAAGCACACACCCACGCACAGACUCGUGAGCAGUCUUGCAUAUAUAGCUAUAUAUGCCUGUGUUUGUUUGUUCUUUGGAUCUGCAUGCACACAGCCUAAUGUUCACCAUUAAGCAUCUUUUGUUCUGCUAUUAGAGAAAGAAUAAAUGCAUAGCUCAUAGCAUCACUUUUCAUUUAUGCAGACAUUUCAGUUUUACUGUUAGUGUAAUGCACACACACACACACACAUACAUACCCCCCAAAAAAACACUCUCUCACACUAUAAAGAUAGACUGAUAGUUUGCAACACACUAACAUCGCAUCAUACUGAUUACAUCGUAAAAUAAAGAGAAAGAUAGCCAACAAGGCUUAAAAUAAGAGAUGCCAUGCUGUAUAUUUUACAAAGCAGAAAUAGUUUUUUUUUUUUUUUUAUAAAGGUUAAAAUGUGAGCAAAAGCAGAACAUAUUU
Anguilla rostrata (American eel) is the source of this 1211-nucleotide long non-coding RNA. RefSeq lists it as uncharacterized. The record is from RefSeq and is a predicted model, not a curated record. Lineage: Eukaryota; Metazoa; Chordata; Actinopteri; Anguilliformes; Anguillidae. The transcript is spliced from 2 exons.